This 127-nucleotide small RNA is filed under the name Marmota monax (woodchuck). The record is from RNAcentral. Lineage: Eukaryota; Metazoa; Chordata; Mammalia; Rodentia; Sciuridae.
GCUGGGCGUGGUGGCACACGCCUAUAAUCCCAGUGACUUGGGAGGCUGAGGCAAGAGGAUUGCAAGUUCAAGGCCAGCCUCAGCAACUUAGUGAGGCCCUCAGCAUCAUAGCAAGACCCUGUCUCAA